GAUGAACGCUGGCGGCGUGCCUAAUACAUGCAAGUCGAGCGAACAGAUGAGAAGCUUGCUUCUCUGAUGUUAGCGGCGGACGGGUGAGUAACACGUGGGUAACCUACCUAUAAGACUGGGAUAACUCCGGGAAACCGGGGCUAAUACCGGAUAAUACUUUGAACCGCAUGGUUCAAAAGUGAAAGUCGGUUUCGGCUGUCACUUAUAGAUGGACCCGCGCCGUAUUAGCUAGUUGGUAAGGUAACGGCUUACCAAGGCGACGAUACGUAGCCGACCUGGGCGGGUGCUCGGCCACACUUGAACUGAGACACGGUCCAGACUCCUACGGGAGGCAGCAGUAGGGAAUCUUCCGCAAUGGGCGAAAGCCUGACGGAGCAACGCCGCGUGAGUGGUGAAGGUCUUCGGAUCGUAAAACUCUGUUGUUAGGGAAGAACAAAUUUGUUAGUAACUGAACAAGUCUUGACGGUACCUAACCAGAAAGCCACGGCUAACUACGUGCCAGCCGCCGCCGUAA
RNAcentral lists this ribosomal RNA (514 nucleotides) under uncultured bacterium. RNAcentral describes it as "partial 16S ribosomal RNA". It matches the Rfam family "Bacterial small subunit ribosomal RNA", at positions 28 to 523 of the family's 1533-position model. The record is from RNAcentral.